This 496-nucleotide ribosomal RNA is filed under the name uncultured bacterium. RNAcentral describes it as "partial 16S ribosomal RNA". It matches the Rfam family "Bacterial small subunit ribosomal RNA", at positions 29 to 507 of the family's 1533-position model. The record is from RNAcentral.
AUGAACGCUGGCGGCGUGCCUAAUACAUGCAAGUCGAGCGAACAGAUGAGGAGCUUGCUCCUCUGACGUUAGCGGCGGACGGGUGAGUAACACGUGGAUAACCUACCUAUAAGACUGGGAUAACUUCGGGAAACCGGAGCUAAUACCGGAUAAUAUAUUGAACCGCAUGGUUCAAUAGUGAAAGACGGUUUUGCUGUCACUUAUAGAUGGAUCCGCGCCGCAUUAGCUAGUUGGUAAGGUAACGGUUUACCAAGGCGACGAUGCGUAGCCGACCUGAGAGGGUGAUCGGCCACACUGGAACUGAGACACGGUCCAGACUCCUACGGGAGGCAGCAGUAGGGAAUCUUCCGCAAUGGGCGAAAGCCUGACGGAGCAACGCCGCGUGAGUGAUGAAGGUCUUCGGAUCGUAAAACUCUGUUAUUAGGGAAGAACAAAUGUGUAAGUAACUAUGCACGUCUUGACGGUACCUAAUCAGAAAGCCACGGCUAACUACGUG